GUCUACGGCCAUGCCACCCUGAACAAGCCUGAUCCUAUGUAAUCUCGGAAGCUAAGCAGGGUCGAGCCUGGUUAGUACUUGAAUGGGAGACCACCUAGGAAGACCAGGUGCUAUAGGCG
Molecule: ribosomal RNA, 119 nt
Filed under: Pteropus alecto (black flying fox)
Lineage: Eukaryota; Metazoa; Chordata; Mammalia; Chiroptera; Pteropodidae
Also listed under: 1 other name
Source: RNAcentral